RNAcentral lists this ribosomal RNA (468 nucleotides) under uncultured bacterium. Its description in RNAcentral is "partial 16S ribosomal RNA". It matches the Rfam family "Bacterial small subunit ribosomal RNA", at positions 28 to 507 of the family's 1533-position model. The record is from RNAcentral.
GACGAACGCUGGCGGCGUGCUUAAUACAUGCAAGUCGAACGGAAAGGCCCUGCUUUUGUGGGGUGCACCAUUGGCGAAGGGUUGAGAACGAGUGAGUUAACCUGCCGUUACCUUUGUGAUAGCUGCGGAAAACUGGGGCAAAUGCUGGAUAGGACCUCCUGCUGUUUGUUGUGGCUUGAAAAUUUUCGGCGGGUGGGGAUGGACUCGCGGCUUAUCAGCUUUUUGUUGGGGUAGUGAGUUACUAAGGUUUUGACGGGUAGCCGGACUGAGAGGGUGACGCGCCACAGUGGGACUCAGAAGGGGCCCAGACUCCUACGGGAGGCAGCGGUGGGGAACAUUGCAAGAUGGGCGGAAGCCUGAUGCAGCAACGCCGCGUGCGGGAUGACGGCUUUCGGGUUGUAAACCGCUUUCGCCUGUGACGAACAGUGAGUGACGGUAAUUUGUAAAGAAGCACCGGCUAACUACGUG